This 1821-nucleotide ribosomal RNA is filed under the name bioreactor metagenome. Its description in RNAcentral is "bacterial LSU rRNA". It matches the Rfam family "Bacterial large subunit ribosomal RNA", at positions 984 to 2820 of the family's 2925-position model. The record is from RNAcentral.
UCAGACUGCGAGUGAUAAGAUCCGUAGUCAAGAGGGAAACAGCCCAGACCGCCAGCUAAGGUCCCAAAGUGUAUGUUAAGUGGAAAAGGAUGUGGCGCUGCCUAGACAGCUAGGAUGUUGGCUUAGAAGCAGCCACCAUUCAAAGAGUGCGUAAUAGCUCACUAGUCGAGUGGCGCCGCGCCGAAAAUGUAACGGGGCUAAACAUACCACCGAAGCUGCGGAUUCCGUAAGGAAUGGUAGGGGAGCGUUCCAAACCGCUGUGAAGCUGUACCGGAAGGAGCAGUGGAGCGUUUGGAAGUGAGAAUGCCGGUGUGAGUAGCGAAAAGAGGGGUGAGAAUCCCCUCCGUCGAAAGCCCAAGGUUUCCUGAGGAAGGCUCGUCCGCUCAGGGUUAGUCUGGACCUAAGCCGAGGCCGAAAGGCGUAGGCGAUGGAUAACAGGUUGAUAUUCCUGUACCGCCGAUCCACCGUUUGAACAAUGGGGGGACGCAGGAGGAUAGUGACGCAUGCGGAUGGAAGUGCAUGUGCAAGUUUCAAGACCGUCUGAUUGGCAAAUCCGUCAGGCAUCAAAGUCAAGGAACGAUGCGGAGUCCCGUAGGGACGUAGGUCACGAUUUCACACUGCCAAGAAAAGCCUCUAGUGAGGGGGAAGGCGCCAGUACCGUAAACCGACACAGGUAGGCGAGAUGAGAAUUCUAAGACGCGCGGGAUAACUCUCGUUAAGGAACUCGGCAAAAUGGUCCCGUAACUUCGGGAGAAGGGACGCUCUACACAUGUAGAGCCGCAGUGAAUAGGCCCAAACGACUGUUUAGCAAAAACACAGGUCUCUGCUAAAUCGCAAGAUGACGUAUAGGGGCUGACGCCUGCCCGGUGCUGGAAGGUUAAGGGGAUGGGUUAGCGCAAGCGAAGCUUUGAACCGAAGCCCCAGUAAACGGCGGCCGUAACUAUAACGGUCCUAAGGUAGCGAAAUUCCUUGUCGGGUAAGUUCCGACCCGCACGAAAGGCGUAACGAUUUGGGCACUGUCUCAACGAGAGACCCGGUGAAAUCAUAGUACCUGUGAAGAUGCAGGUUACCCGCGACAGGACGGAAAGACCCCAUGGAGCUUUACUACAGCCUGAUAUUGAGGCUUUGUGCAUGAUGUACAGGAUAGGCGGGAGACGUCGAGCCCGGAGCGCCAGCUUCGGAGGAGUCACCCUUGGGAUACCGCCCUUCAUGCAUAGAGUCUCUAACUCGCAGCCGUAAUCCGGCUGGAGGACCGUGUCAGGCGGGUAGUUUGACUGGGGCGGUCGCCUCCUAAACAGUAACGGAGGCGCCCAAAGGUUCCCUCAGAAUGGUUGGAAAUCAUUCGUAGAGCGCAAAGGCAGAAGGGAGCUUGACUGCGAGACCUACAAGUCGAGCAGGGACGAAAGUCGGGCUUAGUGAUCCGGUGGUUCCGCAUGGAAGGGCCAUCGCUCAACGGAUAAAAGCUACCCUGGGGAUAACAGGCUGAUCUCCCCCAAGAGUCCACAUCGACGGGGAGGUUUGGCACCUCGAUGUCGGCUCAUCGCAUCCUGGGGCUGGAGUAGGUCCCAAGGGUUGGGCUGUUCGCCCAUUAAAGCGGUACGCGAGCUGGGUUCAGAACGUCGUGAGACAGUUCGGUCCCUAUCCGUCGUGGGCGCAGGAAAUUUGAGGAGAGCUGUCCUUAGUACGAGAGGACCGGGAUGGACGCACCGCUGGUGUACCAGUUGUUCCGCCAGGAGCAUCGCUGGGUAGCUACGUGCGGACGGGAUAAAUGCUGAAAGCAUCUAAGCAUGAAGCCCCCUCCAAGAUGAGAUUUCCCUUUGA